GAUGAACGCUGGCGGCGUGCCUAAUACAUGCAAGUCGAGCGAACAGACGAGGAGCUUGCUCCUCUGACGUUAGCGGCGGACGGGCGAGUAACACGUGGAUAACCUACUUAUAAGACUGGGAUAACUUCGGGAAACAGGAGCUAAUAAUGGAUAAUAUAUUGAACCGCAUGGUUCAAUAGUGAAAGACGGUUUUGCUGUCACUUAUAGAUGGAUCCGUGCCGCAUUAGCUAGUUGGUAAGGUAACGGCUUACCAAGGCAACGAUGCGUAGCUGACCUGAGAGGGUGAUCAGCCACACUGGAACUGAGACACGGUCCAGACUCCUACGGGAGGCAGCAGUAGGGAAUCUUCCGCAAUGGGCGAAAGCCUGACGGAGCAACACCGCGUGAGUGAUGAAGGUCUUCGGAUCGUAAAACUCUGUUAUUAGGAAAGAACAAAUGUAUAAUUAACUAUGCACGUCUUGACGGUACCUAAUCAGAAAGCCACGGCUAACUACGUG
This 497-nucleotide ribosomal RNA is filed under the name uncultured bacterium. RNAcentral's name for it is "partial 16S ribosomal RNA". It matches the Rfam family "Bacterial small subunit ribosomal RNA", at positions 28 to 507 of the family's 1533-position model. The record is from RNAcentral.